AUUGAACGCUGGCGGCAGGCCUAACACAUGCAAGUCGAGCGGUAGCACAGAGAAGCUUGCUUCUUGGGUGACAAGCGGCGGACGGGUGAGUAACGCGUAGGAAUCUACCUAAUAGUGGGGGAUAGCCCAGGGAAACUUGGAUUAAUACCGCAUACGCCCUACGGGGGGGAAAGCCGGGGGGGAUCUUCGGACCUCGUGCUAUUAGAUGAGCCUGCGUAAGAUUAGCUAGUUGGUGAGGUAAAGGCUCACCAAGGCAACGAUCUUUAGCUGGUCUGAGAGGAUGAUCAGCCACACUGGGACUGAGACACGGCCCAGACUCCUACGGGAGGCAGCAGUGGGGAAUAUUGGACAAUGGGGGCAACCCUGAUCCAGCCAUGCCGCGUGUGUGAAGAAGGCCUUCGGGUUGUAAAGCACUUUCAGAUGUGAGGAAAGGUUGCAGAUUAAUACUCUGCAGCUGUGACGUUAACAUCAGAAGAAGGACCGGCUAACUCCGUG
Molecule: ribosomal RNA, 495 nt
Filed under: uncultured bacterium
Lineage: Bacteria
Description: bacterial SSU rRNA
Rfam family: Bacterial small subunit ribosomal RNA
Source: RNAcentral